RNAcentral lists this unclassified non-coding RNA (455 nucleotides) under Hevea brasiliensis (rubber tree). Lineage: Eukaryota; Viridiplantae; Streptophyta; Magnoliopsida; Malpighiales; Euphorbiaceae. The record is from RNAcentral.
AAAUUUUCUGUGUUUUCUUCGAGGAGAAUCGCUGAGUAUGGCGAGAGAUAGCUGUUUGGCUCGAGUUACUGCCGGAGUUGCCGUUGGUGGCGCUGUAGGCGGAGCCGUCGGUGCUGUUUAUGGGACCUAUGAGGCAAUUAGAUUUAAGGUGCCAGGACUUUUGAAAAUUAGGUAUAUUGGACAAACAACACUUGGAAGUGCUGCCAUAUUUGGCCUUUUCUUAGGUGCAGGGAGUUUGAUACAUUGUGGAAAGUCAUAUUAAAGCAUAAGCUCCUGUAUUUGGGUCAGAUAAUAUUGUUUGUUUUUUAGAUUUCUUGCUUUUGAACAUGAAGUUAGUGCAGCAGGUCAUUUGUUUAUUUAAAAAGCUUCCAUUUGUGGUUGUUGGUUAAAAGGAACAAAGUGGUCAAUUGAUGGUGAUAUGGCUUCACCCUACUCGGAUAUGGAUUUUCAAGUUU